RNAcentral lists this ribosomal RNA (354 nucleotides) under uncultured Acholeplasma sp. RNAcentral describes it as "bacterial SSU rRNA". It matches the Rfam family "Bacterial small subunit ribosomal RNA", at positions 1024 to 1382 of the family's 1533-position model. Lineage: Bacteria; Bacillati; Mycoplasmatota; Mollicutes; Acholeplasmatales; Acholeplasmataceae. The record is from RNAcentral.
AUUCGGGGAGACAGUGGUGCAUGGUUGUCGUCAGCUCGUGUCGUGAGAUGUUGGUUAAGUCCCGCAACGAGCGCAACCCUAUUGCUAGUUACCAUCAUUAAGUUGGGGACUCUAGCGAGACUGCCAGUGAUAAACUGGAGGAAGGUGGGGAUGACGUCAAAUCAUCAUGCCCCUUAUGACCUGGGCUACAAACGUGAUACAAUGGCUGGAACAAAGGGAUGCGAAGCAGUGAUGUGGAGCGAAACCCAUAAAAACAGUCUCAGUUCGGAUUGAAGUCUGCAACUCGACUUCAUGAAGUCGGAAUCGCUAGUAAUCGCGGAUCAGAACGCCGCGGUGAAUACGUUCUCGGGGUUU